CUAAAGGUCCUAGCACGAGUGGGGCGGUGGAGGACCGAGGCAAGGGUAUAGCGCCGUAGAUAGCGGCCACCGGGACUUUAUGCAUUUUGUAGCCAUUUUCCUUUUUGUUAUACAUGUAUCAACUUCUUUUGUUGAUUUAGAAAUGUAAGGUUGUAAACGAUCAUGUAAUUUUGGUGGAUGGCUAAAUGUAAAAAGGAAAUGAUGGUUGAAUAGAAAUGUAAUAAUUUUAUUCGCUUGUAUUUGGUU
This 246-nucleotide long non-coding RNA is filed under the name Ananas comosus (pineapple). RNAcentral describes it as "long non-coding RNA (ACOM_LNC017828)". The record is from RNAcentral. Lineage: Eukaryota; Viridiplantae; Streptophyta; Magnoliopsida; Poales; Bromeliaceae.